Molecule: long non-coding RNA, 211 nt
Filed under: Mytilus galloprovincialis (Mediterranean mussel)
Lineage: Eukaryota; Metazoa; Mollusca; Bivalvia; Mytilida; Mytilidae
Source: RNAcentral
GACCACUUGAAAAAAAAGUUCAAAUUUUUUGUAAUGUUGAAUUCUCUCUCAUUAUAAGUAAUAGGAUAACUAUAUUUGAUAUGUGCGUACCUUGCAAGGUCUUCAUGUCUGUCAGACAGUUUUCACUUGACCUCGACCUCAUUUCAUGGAUCAGUGAACCAGGUUAAGUUUUGGUGGUCAAGUCCAUAUCUCAGAUACUAUAAGCAAUAGG